RNAcentral lists this ribosomal RNA (542 nucleotides) under uncultured Alphaproteobacteria bacterium. Its description in RNAcentral is "bacterial SSU rRNA". It matches the Rfam family "Bacterial small subunit ribosomal RNA", at positions 66 to 650 of the family's 1533-position model. The record is from RNAcentral. Lineage: Bacteria; Pseudomonadati; Pseudomonadota; Alphaproteobacteria.
ACGAGACCUUCGGGUCUAGUGGCGCACGGGUGCGUAACGCGUGGGAAUCUACCCUUUGGGUUUCGGAAUAACAGUUAGAAAUGACUGCAUAAUACCGGAUGAUGACGAAAGUCCAAAGAUUUAUCGCCCAUGGAUGAGCCCGCGUAAGAUUAGCUUGUUGGCGGGGUAAUGGCCUACCAAGGCGACGAUCUUUAGCUGGUCUGAGAGGAUGAUCAGCCACACUGGGACUGAGACACGGCCCAGACUCCUACGGGAGGCAGCAGUGGGGAAUAUUGGACAAUGGGCGAAAGCCUGAUCCAGCAAUGCCGCGUGAGUGAUGAAGGCCUUAUGGUUGUAAAGCUCUUUUACCAGGGAUGAUAAUGACAGUACCUGGAGAAUAAGCUCCGGUCUAACUCCGUGCCAGCAGCCGCGGUAAUACGGAGGGAGCUAGCGUUGUUCGGAAUCACUGGGCGUAAAGCGUGCGUAGGCGGUGACUCAAGUCAGAGGUGAAAGCCUGGAGCUCAACUCCAGAACUGCCUUUGAAACUAGGCCGCUAGAACAUC